AGGAUCAUUACUGAAUUAAUGAAGGGUUGUCGCUGGUUCCUUUGGGAGCACUGUGCACGCCCUUCACUUAUUUCAUCUUCAACCAAUUGUGCACUUCUGUAGGCUACGACACUGCUCAGUCUUCGGACUGGAUGGAGGGACUUGCGUUUUAGCUGUCCUUCAAUGUUGUAGUCUAUGCCUAUCUAUAUACAAAAAAGUCAGAAUGUCUUGUUUAUUAGGUCUUUGCGCCUAUAAAACUUUAUACAACUUUCAACAACGGAUCUCUUGGCUCUCGCAUCGAUGAAGAACGCAGCGAAAUGCGAUAAGUAAUGUGAAUUGCAGAAUUCAGUGAAUCAUCGAAUCUUUGAACGCACCUUGCACCCCUUGGUAUUCCGAGGGGUAUGCCUGUUUGAGUGUCAUUAAAUUCUCAACUCUUUAAAUCGUUGUAAUGACGAUUUGAAGACGUUGGAUGUGGAGGCUUUUGCUGGCUUUUCAUUAAGUCAGCUCCUCUUAAAUGCAUUAGUGGUUACUGUUCUUUUCCACUUUGGUGUGAUAGUCUAUCUACGCCUAUAGUGAAAGAUGUCAGUGUAGCUGCUUUCAAACCGUCUGGACUUUACUGCACAAUUUUGAACUGUUUGACCUCAAAUCACGUAGGAUUACC
Molecule: ribosomal RNA, 640 nt
Filed under: uncultured Basidiomycota
Lineage: Eukaryota; Fungi; Basidiomycota
Description: eukaryotic LSU rRNA
Rfam family: 5.8S ribosomal RNA (bases 245-398)
Source: RNAcentral